Molecule: long non-coding RNA, 331 nt
Organism: Anguilla rostrata (American eel)
Lineage: Eukaryota; Metazoa; Chordata; Actinopteri; Anguilliformes; Anguillidae
Exons: 2
Source: RefSeq, a predicted model, not a curated record
CGGCUGACUCACCUUUCUAACCACUUGGACAAAGUCCUUGGAGUUCUGGGGCGAGAGGCCCUGCAUCUGGCGUGUGCAGGCCUCCAGCGAGGAGGCGUGCGCCACGACGAGGACGCAGCUUACUCCCUGUUUACAGUCGGUCAGAAUCUCCCUGGUCACCUGAAAGCUCCUGCUAAUGUAAGUGUCAUAGGACUCUGACACUGCCAACUUGCUAAUGGGGAUGUGAGGUCUGGAAAAGAGUGAAAAAGAAAAGCAACACAUAAACAUCUGUUUGCAAUGCCUACAUAUAUACUGUGUCUAAACCUAAAUACUACUUUAUUAGGAAAUCCAC